CAGGUGCUGCAUGGCUGUCGUCAGCUCUGUCGUGAGAUGUUGGGUUAAGUCCCGCAACGAGCGCAUUGCCAUUAGUUGCUACAUUCAGUUGGGCACUCUAAUGGGACUGCCGGUGACAAACCGGAGGAAGGUGGGGAUGACGUCAAGUCCUCAUGGCCCUUAUAGGUGGGGCUACGUCAUACAAUGGCGGUACAAAGGGUUGCCAACUAAUCCCAUAAAGCCAGUCGUAGUCCGGAUCGCAGUCUGCAACUCGACUGCGUGAAGUCGGAAUCGCUAGUAAUCGUGGAUCAGAAUGUCACGGUGAAUACGUUCCCGGGUCACACCGCCCGUCACACCAUGGGAGCGGGUCUCGCCAGAAGUAAGGCGCCUAACCGCAGGAGGGCGCGGCAGGGUUCGUGACUGGGGUGAAGUCGUAACAAGGUAGCCGUAUCGGAAGGUGCGGCUGGAUCACUCCUUUC
RNAcentral lists this ribosomal RNA (458 nucleotides) under Staphylococcus epidermidis. RNAcentral's name for it is "bacterial SSU rRNA". It matches the Rfam family "Bacterial small subunit ribosomal RNA", at positions 1035 to 1533 of the family's 1533-position model. Lineage: Bacteria; Bacillati; Bacillota; Bacilli; Caryophanales; Staphylococcaceae. The record is from RNAcentral.